CGGAAAGGUACAUUCACAGGGAGUCUGAAUAUUCUAGAGAGAUUGGUCUACUACGGCCUGGCCUUCUCUUAGAUCUCAAAGCACAGAGAAACAUCACUUCCUGCCUGCAGCACAGCCCUAGAGAACAGCCAUGCUCUCCCCCAGGAAAUUAGCCAAAAAGAAGUAUUCCAAAGUAUUUCCAGUCCUCCUCCAACUUAUCAUCCCCACCAAAUGAAAUUAAACUCCACCUUUCUUGAAGCUAUUCUACUGAGAGAAAAUGAGAAAUUUUCAGAAAACAUGGCAUGUAAGGAGAAGUAAAGACUCAACUUGCAGGACUUUGGAAAGGAAUGUGGUUUUAGGAGCUAUUGAGGAGUCAUUAAUUAUAGGAAAUUCACUUGAAUAUCCAGGACACAAAAACGGUCAGACAAAACCAGGUUGGGCCUGAUGCUUAAGCCUUCCAGAUGUCACAUCAAAACUUAACUGGACAUAAGCUUCCAAAUGACAUUUUUAAAAAGAGUGCCUGCCACGACUUCUGCCCAGAGUCUGGCAUAAACUAAUCCCAGUUUAAAAAUUAAUAAACAAUUAAUAUAUAAAAUAAUAUAUACAAGAUCCAUAAAGAAAUGUCUGACUCACACUAAGUGCUCUUCAGUAGUUGGGGCUUAUUUGGGGAUUGGCAGGAGAAGUGUGACUUGCAGUUUAGUAAGAUGGCUUCAGCAUGGCCUCGCUGGGGGGUGAGGGGAGGAUGAGGGGAGGAUCUACAGGGAAGUUGUUACAGAGUUCAGAAGAAAAAUGGUGGUGGCCUGGCUGCCUCAGGGAAAAGAAGGAAGAAAUUCGGAUAACUCUGAGUAGCAUACUUUGUAGGCUGUAAAUGAAGAUGCCCGGGUGAAAUCCAGGUUUUUUUUUAACAAGUAAGAGCCCUGCAGUGCCGUUUGCUGAGGUGGAGCAGAAGCAGACAGUUUAGGAAGGCAAUGUCUUAGGUCUUCCUCCUUCUUCUCAUGGGGAUUGGAAACAUUUAAAGCGACAUCUUUUGUUGGAGGAGGGAGACACCUGUUGGUUCCUGGCUUCCCAGCCCCGAAAUAAUCACACAGAAACUAUAUUAUUUAAAACAUUGCUUGG
This is a long non-coding RNA of Arvicola amphibius (Eurasian water vole), 1095 nucleotides long. RefSeq lists it as uncharacterized. The record is from RefSeq and is a predicted model, not a curated record. NCBI's taxonomy places the organism in Eukaryota, Metazoa, Chordata, Mammalia, Rodentia, Cricetidae. The transcript is spliced from 3 exons.